UAGCCGUAAACGAUACUCGCUAGGUGUCGGCCACGGUGCGACCGUUGUCGGUGCCGUAGGGAAGCCGUGAAGCGAGCCACCUGGGAAGUACGGCCGCAAGGCUGAAACUUAAAGGAAUUGGCGGGGGGAGCACCACAACGGGUGGAGCUUGCGGUUUAAUUGGAUUCAACGCCGGAAAUCUUACCGGGACCGACAGCAACAUGAAGGCCAAGCUGAAGACUUUGCAUGACUAGCUGAGAGGAGGUGCAUGGCGUCAGUGACU
Molecule: ribosomal RNA, 262 nt
Filed under: uncultured archaeon
Lineage: Archaea
Description: partial 16S ribosomal RNA
Rfam family: Archaeal small subunit ribosomal RNA
Source: RNAcentral